AUUGAACGCUGGCGGCAUGCCUUACACAUGCAAGUCGAACGGUAACGCGGGGCAACCUGGCGACGAGUGGCGAACGGGUGAGUAAAGCAUCGGAACGUGCCCAGUAGUGGGGGAUAGCCCGGCGAAAGCCGGAUUAAUACCGCAUACGACCUAAGGGUGAAAGGGGGGGAUCGCAAGACCUCUCGCUAUUGGAGCGGCCGAUGUCAGAUUAGGUAGUUGGUGGGGUAAAGACCUACCAAGCCGACGAUCUGUAGCUGGUCUGAGAGGACGACCAGCCACACUGGGACUGAGACACGGCCCAGACUCCUAGGGGAGGCAGCAGUGGGGAAUUUUGGACAAGGGGCGCAAGCCUGAUCCAGCCAUGCCGGGUGAGGGAAGAAGGCCUUCGGGUUGUAAACCGCUUUUGUCAGGGAAGAAAUCCUUUGGGUCAAUACCUCGGGGGGAUGACGGUACCUGAAGAAUAAGCACCGGCUAACUACGUGCCAGCAGCCGCCGUAA
Molecule: ribosomal RNA, 498 nt
Filed under: uncultured bacterium
Lineage: Bacteria
Description: partial 16S ribosomal RNA
Rfam family: Bacterial small subunit ribosomal RNA
Source: RNAcentral